Molecule: ribosomal RNA, 503 nt
Filed under: uncultured bacterium
Lineage: Bacteria
Description: partial 16S ribosomal RNA
Rfam family: Bacterial small subunit ribosomal RNA
Source: RNAcentral
AUUGAACGCUGGCGGCAGGCUUAACACAUGCAAGUCGAGCGGGGUGAUGGUGCUUGCACUAUCACUUAGCGGCGGACGGGUGAGUAAUGCUUAGGAAUCUGCCUAUUAGUGGGGGACAACAUCUCGAAAGGGAUGCUAAUACCGCAUACGUCCUACGGGAGAAAGCAGGGGAUCACUUGUGACCUUGCGCUAAUAGAUGAGCCUAAGUCGGAUUAGCUAGUUGGGGGGGUAAAGGCCUACCAAGGCGACGAUCUGUAGCGGGUCUGAGAGGAUGAUCCGCCACGCUGGGACUGAGCCACGGCGCAGACGCACACGGGGGGCAGCAGUGGGGAAUAUUGGACAAGGGGGGGAACCCUGAUCCAGCCAUGCCGCGUGUGUGAAGAAGGCCUUAUGGUUGUAAAGCACUUUAAGCGAGGAGGAGGCUCUUUUGGUUAAUACCCAAGAUGAGUGGGCGUUACUCGCAGAAUAAGCACCGGCUAACUCUGUGCCAGCAGCCGCGGUAA